CCUACGGGAGACUGCAGUGGGGAAUUUUGCGCAAUGCUCGUAAGAGUGACGCAGCGACGCCGCGUGAAUGACGAAGGCCUUCGGGUCGUAAAGUUCUUUCGACAGGGAAGAAAAUGCCUAUAAGUAACUGUGUAUGUAUUGACGGUACCUGUAUAAGCAGCCCCGGCUAACUCCGUGCCAGCAGCCGCGGUAAUACGGAGGGGGCGAGCGCUGUUCGGAGUGACUGGGCGUAAAGAGCACGUAGGCGGUGUUGUAAGUCAUUAGUCAAAGACUAGAGCUCAACUUUAGUAAGGCUAGUGAUACUAUAAUACGAGAGUAUCAGAGAGGAUUGCAGAAUUCCUGGUGUAGGGGUGAAAUGCGUAGAUAUCAGGAGGAAUACCGUUAGCGAAGGCGGCAAUCUGGCUGGAAACUGACGCUGAGGUGCGAAAGCGUGGGUAGCAAACAGGAUUAGAUACCCGAGUAGUC
This 465-nucleotide ribosomal RNA is filed under the name uncultured bacterium. Its description in RNAcentral is "partial 16S ribosomal RNA". It matches the Rfam family "Bacterial small subunit ribosomal RNA", at positions 338 to 795 of the family's 1533-position model. The record is from RNAcentral.